Molecule: ribosomal RNA, 443 nt
Filed under: uncultured bacterium
Lineage: Bacteria
Description: partial 16S ribosomal RNA
Rfam family: Bacterial small subunit ribosomal RNA
Source: RNAcentral
CCUACGGGAGGCAGCAGUGGGGAAUAUUGGGCAAUGGGCGCAAGCCUGACCCAGCAACGCCGCGUGAAGGAAGAAGGCUUUCUGGUUGUAAACUUCUUUUCUCAGGGACGAAGCAAGUGACGGUACCUGAGGAAUAAGCCACGGCUAACUACGGGCCAGCAGCCGCGGUAAUCCGUAGGUGGCAAGCGUUAUCCGGAUUUACUGGGUGUAAAGGGCGUGUAGGCGGGACUGCAAGUCAGAUGUGAAAACCACGGGCUCAACCUGUGGCCUGCAUUUGAAACUGUAGUGCUUGAGUGCUGGAGAGGCAGACGGAAUGCCUGGUGUAGCGGUGAAAUGCGUAGAUAUUAGGAGGAACACCAGUGGCGAAGGCGGUCUGCUGGACAGCAACUGACGCUGAGGCGCGAAAGCGUGGGGAGCAAACAGGAUUAGAUACCCGGGUAGUC